This 497-nucleotide ribosomal RNA is filed under the name uncultured bacterium. RNAcentral describes it as "partial 16S ribosomal RNA". It matches the Rfam family "Bacterial small subunit ribosomal RNA", at positions 28 to 507 of the family's 1533-position model. The record is from RNAcentral.
GAUGAACGCUGGCGGCGUGCCUAAUACAUGCAAGUCGAGCGAACAGACGAGGAGCUUGCUCCUCUGACGUUAGCGGCGGACGGGUGAGUAACACGUGGAUAACCUACCUAUAUGACUGGGAUAACUUCGGGAAACCGGGGCAAAAACGCUAUAAUCUAUUGAACUGCAUGAUUCCAUGGUAAAAGAUGGUUUUCUGGUAAUUUAUAGCUAGCUCAGGGCCGCAUUAUCUAGUUGGUAAGGUAACGGCUUACCAAGCGAACGAUGCGUAGCCGACCUGAGAGGGUGAUCGGCCACACUGGAACUGAGACACGGUCCAGCCUCCUACGGGGGGCAGAAGUAGGGAAUCUUCCGCAAUGGGCGAAGGCCUGACGGGGCAACGCCGCGUGAGUGAUGAAGGUCUUCGGAUCGUAAAACUCUGUUAUUAGGGAAGAACAAAUGUGUAAGUAACUAUGCACGUCUUGACGGUACCUAAUCAGAAAGCCACGGCUAACUACGUG